GCCCUGCUAGCUCAGUGGUAGAGCGUCGCACUUGUACGAGCGCGUCUCGAUGCGAAGGUCAGUCGUUCAAUCCGGCUGCGGGGCA
This 85-nucleotide transfer RNA is filed under the name Schizophyllum commune Tattone D. RNAcentral's name for it is "tRNA-Thr". It matches the Rfam family "tRNA". Rfam says of the family: Transfer RNA (tRNA) molecules are approximately 80 nucleotides in length. Their secondary structure includes four short double-helical elements and three loops (D, anti-codon, and T loops). The record is from RNAcentral. Lineage: Eukaryota; Fungi; Basidiomycota; Agaricomycetes; Agaricales; Schizophyllaceae.